This 767-nucleotide non-coding RNA is filed under the name Pongo abelii (Sumatran orangutan). Lineage: Eukaryota; Metazoa; Chordata; Mammalia; Primates; Hominidae. The record is from RNAcentral.
ACCUUUACAGAAAAUAUCUUCCAUGGAAACAUCUAAAGGCAAAAAUCCUUCAAAUUCAAAUUUAUCCAAUCAUUUCUUCUGCUUACUACCAUCCUAAAUCAUUUUUCUUUAGUAAGAUCUAUUAGUGUGAAGCUAUUAAGCUAUUAAUGUAAGUAUCAUAUUAAUGUAUUAAGAUAUUAAGUGAGGAAGUAAAGUUGCAUUCAUAGGCCUUGAACUUUUCCACAUCUCGAUUUUUACCCAUCAUCUCUGCAUAUUUUCCUAAGGCAGCCUUCAAAUGGUGAUGUUUCCUGUCAUCCAGAGUUCAGAAGUGCCUUCUCUUCAACCUUUCUGUGGAAUUCUAAACCACGUGAUAAAGGAGCUGGUGAGCCAGAUUUCCUUCUGCACCAGAGCCUGUGGAAGCGCCACAGCGGAAGCACAGAGACUGGAAGAGCAGGCAAGAAGCUGGGAGCUUUGCACUGAACCAGGAAGACAUCACAGCUCUUAGGCGAAGACCCGGAAAGGUGUCAACAUGGCCACACUACUGCUCCCACCUUGUCCUUAUUUUCCUCAUCUCUCCCCACAGGCCACAGAUCAGCCCUGGGGUUCAGAGGGAUCCUGACGGCUACUCCUCAAGAUCCUCUCUGUUGUGAUUCAUCCCCCCCAGGCCCUACAGUUUCUCCUUCCUGACUCUUACAUUUCUUUGGAUGGCAUCACUAUUUACCUGUCUCCUCCCAUAGUUAGUUGCCAAGCACUGUGGAUUCUACCCCUCAGGGUCCAGACACCCAUUU